GACGAACGCUGGCGGCGUGCUUAACACAUGCCAGUCGAACGGAAAGGCCCUGCUUUUGUGGGGUGCUCGAGUGGCGAACGGGUGAGUAACACGUGAGUAACCUGCCCUUGACUUUGGGAUAACUUCAGGAAACUGGGGCUAAUACCGGAUAGGAGCUCCUGCUGCAUGGUGGGGGUUGGAAAGUUUCGGCGGUUGGGGAUGGACUCGCGGCUUAUCAGCUUGUUGGUGGGGUAGUGGCUUACCAAGGCUUUGACGGGUAGCCAGACUGAAAGGGAGACCGGCCACAUAGGGAUUGAGGCACGACCAGGACUCCUUCGGGAGGCAGCAGUGGGGAAUGUUACACACUGGGCGGAAGACUGACGCAACAACGCCGCGUGCGGGAUGACGGCCUUCGGGUUGUAAACCGCGUUCGCGUGUGACGAAGCGUGAGUGACGGAAAUAGGUAAAGAGGCACCGCCUAACUACGG
This 467-nucleotide ribosomal RNA is filed under the name uncultured bacterium. RNAcentral's name for it is "partial 16S ribosomal RNA". It matches the Rfam family "Bacterial small subunit ribosomal RNA", at positions 28 to 506 of the family's 1533-position model. The record is from RNAcentral.